UGCAAGUCGAGCGCUACCUUCGGGUGGAGCGGCGGACGGGUUAGUAACGCGUGGGAACGUACCCUUUUCUAAGGAAUAGCCUCGGGAAACUGANAGUAAUACCUUAUACGCCCUUCGGGGGAAAGAUUUAUCGGAGAAGGAUCGGCCCGCGUUANAUUANAUAGUUGGUGGGGUAAUGGCCUACCAAGUCUACGAUCUAUAGCUGGUUUUAGAGGAUGAUCANCAACACUGGGACUGANACACGGCCCAGACUCCUACGGGAGGCAGCAGUGGGGAAUCUUGGACAAUGGGCGCAAGCCUGAUCCANCCAUGCCGCGNGAGUGAUGAAGGCCCUANGGUCGUAAAGCUCUUUCGCCAGGGAUGAUAAUGACAGUACCUGGUAAAGAAACCCCGGCUAACUCCGUGCCAGCAGCCGCGGUAAUACGGAGGGGGUUAGCGUUGUUCGGAAUUACUGGGCGUAAAGCGCACGUAGGCGGAUCANAAAGUUAGGGGUGAAAUCCCAGGGCUCAACCCUGGAACUGCCUCUAAAACUCCUGGUCUAGAGUUCGAGAGAGGUGAGUGGAAUUCCNAGUGUAGAGGUGAAAUUCGUANAUAUUCNGAGGAACACC
RNAcentral lists this ribosomal RNA (608 nucleotides) under marine sponge bacterium PLATEactino+(1)-04. Its description in RNAcentral is "bacterial SSU rRNA". It matches the Rfam family "Bacterial small subunit ribosomal RNA", at positions 56 to 710 of the family's 1533-position model. The record is from RNAcentral.